Long non-coding RNA from Gallus gallus (chicken), 2383 nucleotides. RefSeq lists it as uncharacterized. The record is from RefSeq and is a predicted model, not a curated record. Lineage: Eukaryota; Metazoa; Chordata; Aves; Galliformes; Phasianidae. The transcript is spliced from 4 exons.
ACUGUUUAACCCACGCAUAAUGCUCAGUAGCUUUGUUGCACAAGGAACGUCACACUGGGGCCUUGGUUCCUGCCCCGUGUGCCCAUUCCUAGCUUGAGAUUGCCCCCACUCUCUUGACUGUAUGGCUUCAGCAGUCUGUGAGGCCUGAAAGGGGUUGAUGACAAGGUUAAGAAUAACUAUAAAACUGGGGACAGCUGGGAUAAGGGUAGUGGCAAAGGGCAAAGGGUGGCAGUGUGUCUGGGACUAAGCUGUAUGCCAAGGAAGUCAGCAGCUUGCGGAGUCUCCUGCUCCUUUUUCACCUCAAUCCUGAGGCCUCUAGGGGUCAUACGAGUGCUGUUCUUGCCCGGGUGCUUCUAGGCAGUGCUAGUAGGCAAUUAUUUUAAAAGAAAUGUUUAAAAAAGAAAAGUAAAGAAACCUGCUCUUAAGCCUAGAUGUUUUCUUUUCUUCAAGAAGCAAUAAGCAAUGUAGACUUCAUGCUAAUAAGGCAUCAUUUCUUCUGCUGACUGCUUUUUGUUAAGGUCUAGGUAAAUAAAGAAACGUGUCCUGUGGGCCACUGCAAAGGCUACUGUUCUGAAAGGCAGCUUCAUCUCCUCCAGAGAUAUGCUUUAGUUUACAGUGGGCCCAUAGUCUUUUGAACAAAUAUGAUUUUAUGUAAUCUGCAAGUCUCCAGAGUACUAAGGAAUUAAGGCUUCAUGAACAGUCAAGACUGAUCAGUGUGGUCUGGCAUGUUGCUGAGAUCGAGAGAAAACGCCUGCUAAAGGUAAUGGGAGCAACAGAAGCCUUGCCUGGGUUGGGUCAACAGAGAUAUGUUACAGCUUCUGACCAAAUAGCUUCAAAAAACAGGUUUGUGCAAAUGGCUUUCUUCUGAUCUUUCUUGGCUGGACCGUCUUGCUCUUGUUUUUCAUUCUUCAGCCCUUUUCCUUUAGUCUUUAUACUCUCUUCUGGAAGUAGGAAGAAUUGUGCUAUGAUGGGUUAUAGUCAUAAUCUAGGGCAACUCCUUUAGCAUCACGGUACUGUUCCCUGUGCCCUGUAAAUGUGUCUCCUUGAGUUCAGUAGCUGUAAAUGUUGACUGGGUAGGGCAACAUUACUGAUACGGAAGGAGGAGGGAUUAUUUGCUCUCGCUGUUGAUUUGCAACUAAUCUCAUACUUUGCUCACUGCAAAUGUAUUGAUAUGAAAAGAGGUUUUUGAUGAGACCAUCUCUACAAACAGCUAGGUUGAGGAAGGGGAAAUAAUGCAGGCAGUUCAAUAGAUAGCAUUCAUUUCAAGGGACAGACACACUGAUACAUACCAUUUGUAACUUCUGGAAGCCAGAAGUAGAGUGUACCAUAUGGGCUUCCUUGCUUGUUCUGAUUGGCUCACUGUGAUAAUCAGAGCCUGUGCUUAUUCCCAGAGAUGGUGGUUCUUCACAAAAUGCCAAUUAAAUCUGCUUUUGCAUCACAUUGCAAUCCCCUGUUGGAAGACAACUGGAGAGUAGAGACUGCAACUCAAGUGGGGUAGCACGUGUAAUGGGACUGGUGGUAAUUUGGUCCAGUUCAAAUGAUCCAUUUCUUUAAAUCACAGCCUGGUCCUUGCCUGUGCUCUAACCUUGCUCCAGGACAGGACGCUGUUUCCAGCUGUUCCCUGAAGGUGAUCCUCCUGAUCCCAGCACUGCAGCUGCUGAAUUGUAGUUUUAUGGCGUAUAUUUUCUUUAAAAACAGACAAGUAAGAACCCCAAAUACAAAAGACAUCCAGCCAGAACUAAAAGGGUUUAGCUCUGCUCCCUCACACUGCUCUUCUCCCAAGGCUUGGUAUAUGCACCCGGCAAUCUUCUGAUGAACUUACAGCAAAGAAACAAACAGGGCAUUCCAGUGCCAGCUCCCAGAGCUUCUGCCCAGGAUUGUAGGGGUCAUUGCAGUGAGUGAGUGGAAAGCAUGGAGAAACAGCAGCUUCAGCUCUCCCAUCUGCAUCCAGGCAAGGACUCUAAAUUGAGAUUUAGGCUGAUCCACAACUGCUGGAUGAUCGUGGAUGUGCCCAGUGCAUGUGCUGGGGUAAGCACUGUCCUCCAGCCCAUCUCUGCUCCCACAGAGCCUAUGGGGAUGCUGGCCAUGUCUCCCUGCUCCCCUCCUGCCCCAAACACCUGCCCAGCCAGGAGGGGGCACAGUGCCCAUGGGGAAGCCCACCUCGCAGUAGGAUGUUACAAUAAAUUAACAGUCUCUGUUUUUAUAGAAUGCUUUAUUCACUAUGUCCUAGAAAUGUACCGUAAAUGGAGCAAGAACUAAAUAAAUUCAGAGGCUUCCAACAAUACAGAAAACAGAGAUACAAUAAAACACCUAAAAUAUCAGCUCUUUCAAGAAUAAGGCACACUAGUUUUGUGGUUUUUUUUAAUAUAUAUAUAUAUAUAUA